GCAGACGGCGGAGAGCAGAGAGGGAGCGCGCCUUGGCUCGCUGGCCUUGGCGGCGGCUCCUCAGGAGAGCUGGGGCGCCCACGAGAGGAUCCCUCACCCGGGUCUCUCCUCAGGGAUGACAUCAUCCGUCCACCUCCUUGUCUUCAAGGACCACCUCCUCUCCAUGCUGAGCUGCUGCCAAGGGGCCUGCUGCCCAUCUACACCUCACGAGGGCACUAGGAGCACGGUUUCCUGGAUCCCACCAACAUACAAAGCAGCCACUCACUGACCCCCAGGACCAGGAUGGCAAAGGAUGAAGAGGACCGGAACUGACCAGCCAGCUGUCCCUCUUACCUAAAGACUUAAACCAAUGCCCUAGUGAGGGGGCAUUGGGCAUUAAGCCCUGACCUUUGCUAUGCUCAUACUUUGACUCUAUGAGUACUUUCCUAUAAGUCUUUGCUUGUGUUCACCUGCUAGCAAACUGGAGUGUUUCCCUCCCCAAGGGGGUGUCAGUCUUUGUCGACUGACUCUGUCAUCACCCUUAUGAUGUCCUGAAUGGAAGGAUCCCUUUGGGAAAUUCUCAGGAGGGGGACCUGGGCCAAGGGCUUGGCCAGCAUCCUGCUGGCAACUCCAAGGCCCUGGGUGGGCUUCUGGAAUGAGCAUGCUACUGAAUCACCAAAGGCACGCCCGACCUCUCUGAAGAUCUUCCUAUCCUUUUCUGGGGGAAUGGGGUCGAUGAGAGCAACCUCCUAGGGUUGUUGUGAGAAUUAAAUGAGAUAAAAGAGGCCUCAGGCAGGAUCUGGCAUAGAGGAGGUGAUCAGCAAAUGUUUGUUGAAAAGGUUUGACAGGUCAGUCCCUUCCCACCCCUCUUGCUUGUCUUACUUGUCUUAUUUAUUCUCCAACAGCACUCCAGGCAGCCCUUGUCCACGGGCUCUCCUUGCAUCAGCCAAGCUUCUUGAAAGGCCUGUCUACACUUGCUGUCUUCCUUCCUCACCUCCAAUUUCCUCUUCAACCCACUGCUUCCUGACUCGCUCUACUCCGUGGAAGCACGCUCACAAAGGCACGUGGGCCGUGGCCCGGCUGGGUCGGCUGAAGAACUGCGGAUGGAAGCUGCGGAAGAGGCCCUGAUGGGGCCCACCAUCCCGGACCCAAGUCUUCUUCCUGGCGGGCCUCUCGUCUCCUUCCUGGUUUGGGCGGAAGCCAUCACCUGGAUGCCUACGUGGGAAGGGACCUCGAAUGUGGGACCCCAGCCCCUCUCCAGCUCGAAAUCGGCAGACUAGGAUGGAAGUGCCCUGUGAGCUGGGGGGCCCUUCAAAGGGCCAAGGAGAAAACGCAGGCCGAGGGACCAGCCUUCCAAAUGGGCUUCAAGCUCCAAUGACCUCCGCUCGCCCCCUCGAAAUGUCUGGAAAACAUAAUGGGCAGAUUUUCUGUCUUCAAAGUUUCCGGCUAAACCUCUUCAAGUUCUUUAUUGUUUGGGACUGAGACACUCAGCCAUGUUAAUGGGUAGUUUCUUUUGUAUUUGCCUUGAAAGGCCAAAAUAUUUUUAUAUUGCCACAGACAAAGCCACCUAUUUAAAAAUGAACUCCAUGUCCGUCGUUUCCCACCAGGAGACUAUGUACCAUGUGUGUGUCUCUAUGUAUUCUGGGGUCUUGAAACAGGUUUCUCAUGGGGAUGGUCAUUCACCACGGUCCAGAGGGGCAGAACAGGCGGCGCUUGCCUUGCCCAGGGGGCCUGGGGAACGUGGGCCCUCAUCUCAGAUCUGCCCCCAGUAUGUUUAGGACGCGAGCCCCAGAAGGAUCUGGGAGUAAACUUAACAUUCACUGUGUCUCUGCUCUGCAUCCGCCAUUUGUGUGUGUUUCUGGACUGUGGGCUGUGUGUACCUUGGUUGGUGACUCAGUGAGAAGAAGCAGGAAUGCCAAAGAUACUGUGAAUGUUCUGAGUUUUGUUGCUGUUGUUGUUGAGAGGUUGUUUCACUGGUAUCUAUUGCAUUGUAUAAUAAAUGACCAGAUGAAUGAAUGAGUGAAGCAAGAGAGAAUGAAUAAACAAGUAAAUAGGUAAAGAAGUAAGCAAGCCAGGAUGAGAGUGUGUGUACACAAGACCAUGGUUCAUCCGCUUUGAUGGCUAGGCAAUCAAUAUAUAAAUAGAAAAAAACCAGUGAAUCACUAAGUAAUAGGGCAACACACAAAGCGAUAUCAGGUGAUUAUGGACUAAGGGGUAUGUGUAACUCAAAUAUAUGCCUCUGACAUUUGACAAUGAAAAAGAACCUAAAUGAAAGAAAGAAUGGAUGUAUGAGUAGUGAAGUGCAGAAUGAGACAUAGAUUUUGAGGCCCGUCAAAAUGAAAAGAUGCAAGUUAGGGAACAAGUGAUCAAAAGGGAGAAGGGAAAGGUUUUUUUUAAAAAACCAAAACAACAAAGAAAGGUUAAAAAAAAAAACAGACUAGAGGAUGAGUAAUGAGUAACUCUGUAAGGAGGACCAUGUCAGACUAUUGUAAGCUAAGCAUUAGGACUGAUACAAAUAAUAUAUGCUCCUGGCAUAGAAAAAUAAACCACAGAGAACGAGUUCAAAGAAUAGCAAAGAAAGAAAGAGGACCCAGUGGGCGAAAGAUGAGAGUGUACUUUUACCAAAAGUUAUCUAAGCCUGAGCACUUGAAGUCUGCACAUAAAUAAAUAAAUGACAAAAGAAAGAAAAAAAGGCCAAAAA
RNAcentral lists this long non-coding RNA (2680 nucleotides) under Homo sapiens (human). RNAcentral describes it as "non-protein coding lnc-DLK1-35:35". The stretch from base 526 to 630 matches the Rfam family "Maternally expressed 3 conserved region 2". The record is from RNAcentral. Lineage: Eukaryota; Metazoa; Chordata; Mammalia; Primates; Hominidae.